GGGAGGGGCUAGGGGCAGAGUCCAGGGCUUGGGCCUCAAGGCCGCAGCAGAUAACAAAGUGCAAAAAUGUGGCUGUUCCUGCAUCCAUUAAAAAACAUGAAUAACAAGAGGCCAGAAAACUGCUCACAGAUCUCCUGUCGCCAAGUCCACGAGGGCCGGGGCCCAUGCAGGCCGGGGCCCAUGCAGGCCGGCCCCCCGGCUCCCCGGCGGCUGUUCCUGAGGCGGGCCGUCCUUUCUCCGCGUUUCUGAGUCCUCUGCGGGCCAUCUCCUCCCCAGCUGCUGAGGGCAACACCCCCCCCCCCCGGGGGAGCUCGGGCUCCCUCCGUCUCUCCCAUGAGGCUUUAUUGCUAUACGGGGGCGGCAGGUGCGCUCAGUGACCCCCCGGCCCGAGAGAGGAGACAGCGGAGAAGCUCGGCACUCGGGGAGCGGCUGGGGCGGCGGCGGGGAGAGGAAGCAGGCUGGUCUCGGUCCGGGCGCCUCCUGUGCUACACCAGACAAGGCGAACGUCCUUGCCCACGUUCGCUAAGAAAGGUUCCCUCGUGGCCGCCGCCUCACUGGUCCUGACCACCAGCUUUACCAAUGCAGCA
Sarcophilus harrisii (Tasmanian devil) is the source of this 587-nucleotide long non-coding RNA. RefSeq lists it as uncharacterized. NCBI's taxonomy places the organism in Eukaryota, Metazoa, Chordata, Mammalia, Dasyuromorphia, Dasyuridae. The transcript is spliced from 2 exons. The record is from RefSeq and is a predicted model, not a curated record.